GGGGGAGCCAGCGUGGUGCCCGCCCCGGAAGCGUCUGUGGAGGAGGGUUGGGCUUCCCGGGGAGGAUGGACCGCUGGGAUAGCGGCUACUUGCAGAGAGGUUACGGGCUUUGUGGACAGGGGAGGCCACAGGAUCACCACCAUGUUUAACCAGCAACUCCAGCAGCAGCAACAGUUGCAGCAGCUCCAGCAACAGCAGCUCCAGCAGCAGCAACAGCAGAUACUCCAGCUCCAACAGCUACUGCAGCAGUCCCCACCACAGGCCUCCUUGUCCAUGCCUGUCAGCCGGGGCCUCCCCCAGCAGUCAUCCCCGCAACAGCUUCUGAAUCUCCAGGGCCUCAACUCGACCUCCCUGCUCAAUGGCUCCAUGCUGCAAAGAGCUUUGCUCCUACAGCAGUUGCAAGGCAACCUCCGUGCUUACAAUGUGACAGCCCCAAACCU
This 440-nucleotide long non-coding RNA is filed under the name Rattus norvegicus (Norway rat). RNAcentral describes it as "long non-coding RNA NONRATT018043". Lineage: Eukaryota; Metazoa; Chordata; Mammalia; Rodentia; Muridae. The record is from RNAcentral.